UGUUGGGCUUGUACUCUCAUUGCUUAACCUUAACGAGAAGCCACACGGCAAGGAAAUCUUCAUGUAGUCCAUGCAGGGGACAAGAGCCCAGACCUUGCUGAGCUGUGGGUGGCAGAAACAAGAGAGCUGUAACAUACCCGUGUUUGCCAUGCUGCCAGCAUGAAGAAGUGAAGCCACUGGAUACCACUCCCUACUGCUUGCUGAGCAAUGGAUACACAUGUCAGAGUGUGUAUUUAGAGAUAAACUGACAUCCAAUCUGCAGCCUGCAUGCAAAAGUCUUACGCAAAAAAGAAAGAAGCUCUAAAGCAAGUGUGGUAAAAUGUUAACAUUUGAGAAUUUGAAAGAAAG
This is a long non-coding RNA of Homo sapiens (human), 348 nucleotides long. RefSeq lists it as uncharacterized. The transcript has 3 exons. The record is from RefSeq and is a predicted model, not a curated record. Lineage: Eukaryota; Metazoa; Chordata; Mammalia; Primates; Hominidae.